RNAcentral lists this long non-coding RNA (6288 nucleotides) under Homo sapiens (human). RNAcentral's name for it is "non-protein coding LINC01771:12". The record is from RNAcentral. Lineage: Eukaryota; Metazoa; Chordata; Mammalia; Primates; Hominidae.
GUCUUUCGUCCACUCUUCUCUCAGCGGGCGCUCCACGGCCCUGCUCUGGGCUCGCCUGAGUGCUGGGCUCUGCAGACGCAGGGAUGGGCCAGGCGAGCCCCUCACCACGGAGGUAGCAGGUCCAGAGGAAGCAGCAGAGGCUUCCUGGAGGAGGAUUUGUACCCCUAGGAGGACUAUGUCUUCCUCAUCUUUGUCUUCAGAGGAUAAAUACAAGGCCUGACACAUAACAAGCAUGAGAUUAAUUUACCCGAGGUCAACCACGGUCCAAAGAUAUUAAAUGGAAAAUUCCAGAAAUAAACAAUGUGUAAGUUUUCAGUUGCAUGCUAUUCUGAGUAGCAGGAUGAAAUCUCGUGCUGUCCGGCUUCGUCCCACCUGGGAUGUGAAUCAUCCCUUUGUCCAGUGGAUCCGCGCUAUAGACACUACUCUCCCAUCAGUCACUCAGCAGCUGCUUCAGUUCCCAGAUCAACUGUCGCAGGAUCGCAGUGCUUCUGUUCAAGUAAUCCUUAUUUUACUUCAUUAUGGGCUCCAAAGCACAAGAGGAGUGUUGCUGGUGAUUCCGAUAUGCCAAAGGAAAGCUGUAAAGUACUUCCUUUAAGUAGAAAGGUGAAAGUACUUGACUUAAUAAGAAAAUUUAAAAAACAAAAUUGUAUGCUGUGGUUGCUAAGAUCUACAGUAAGAAUGAUUCUAUUCAUGAAAUCGUGAAGAAGGAAAGAAAUUUGUGCUAGUUUUGCUGUUGCAACUCAAGCUGCAAAAGUUACAACACCUGUGUGUGAUGAGUGCUUAGUAAUGAUGGAAAAGCCAUUAAAUUUGUGGGUGCAAGACACGGACAGAAACGUUCUGAUUGACGGCAAUCAGGUUCCAUUGGGGGUAUUGGAACACAUCCCUGAGGAUAAUGGGGGACUACUGUAUUCUACCAACUUAUUCCUCUUGAAGAAUUCCCUUUCGGAUUUCUGACUGCUGAGUCCUGGACUGGUUGAUGGCAAGGCCAGCUGCCCUGGUUGUCACCUGGAGACUGUGCUGCACUUUUCUCCUGGGUCGAACCCCUCAAUUCCUAGAUCCCACGUCUUCCCCUUCUGGGUUCACUACCUUAUUUGGGGGAACAUAUACCCAUAGCUUUCUUUUUGUUUUAUUUUUUGUUUACCUAUUUAUUUAUCUUAUUUUAUUUUUUGAGACGGAGUCUCCCUCUGUUGCCCAGUCUGGAGUGCAGUGGUGUGACCUCGUCUCACUGCAGCCUCCACCCCCCAGGUUCAAGCAAUUCUCCUGCUUCAGCCUCCCAAGUAGCUGGGACUACAGGUACGUGCCACCAUGUCUGGCUAAUUUUUGUAUUUCUAGUAGAGAUGGGGUUUCUCCAUGUUGGCCAGGCUAGUCUCAAAUUCCUGACCUCAGGUGAUCCAACCGCCUUGGCCUCCCAAAGUGCUGGGAUUGCAGGCAUAAGCCACUGCGCCUGGCCCCAUGUAUACCUAUACUUUUCUAAAAGGAUGUGUUUGGGGUGAAAUCUUAAGACCUUGCCUUUCUAAAAGUGCCUCACAUUUAAUCAGAUAGUUUGACCAGGUAUAAAUUUCUAAACUGGAAAUAUUUUUCCCUCUGAAUUUUGAAGGCUUGCUCCAUUGUCUUCCAGUUUCUGCUGAAAAGUCUGAGGCCAUUCUGUUUCCUAAUCUUUUCUAGAGACUCUGUUCUCUCUUUCUGGAAGCUGUGUCCUCAGUGGGUCUUUUCUUUUAAGAGAAGGGAUCCCAUCGCCACCGAGGCUGGAGUUCAGUGGCACAAUCAUCGCUCACUGCAGCCUUGACCUCCUGGGCUCAAGGAUCCUCCUGCCCCAGCCUCCUGAGUAGUUAGGACUACAGGCUCAUACCACCAUGCCUGCUCAGCCUUAGUGUGUCUUGAAGUGAAUCGAUUUCCAUUCACUGUGCUGGGUACCCAGUGAGUCCUCACGGACAAACUAAUCAUCUUCAUUUUGGAGAAAAUUUAAAAGAAGUACCUCUAUAAUGAUUUUAUUUUUUCUUUCAGGAACUCCUUAAUUAUUCAAAUACUGGCCCUCCUGGAGCAGUUCUCUAUAUUUCUUAUAUCCUUUUUCCACCUAUUUUUCAUCCCAUUUUGCUCUUCAUUCUGGAAAUGUUCUUCAACUCUUCAACAGUUUUUUGUUGUUUUUCAAAAAUUUAUCUUAUCAUAUUUCCAAAAGCCUUUUGUUUGUUCUUUGACUAUUCCUUUUUUUAGAGUAUCUCGUUCUUUUCUCACGGAUGCAAUAUUUUCUCUUAUUUCUUUGAGGAUGUUAGUAAUGUUUUGUUGUUGUUUCUGUUGAAGUGUUUCUCACCAUGCCUAAUCUCUUCUUUGUCCAAGUUAAUUUUUUUUUCUGAUUGUUGAAAAGACAAGCCACAUACUGGGAGAAUAUAUUACAGCACAAAUAACGCACAAAGCAUUACUAUCCGGAAUACAUAAGUAAUUCUUACAAAUUGGUAAGAAGACAACUCAAUUAAAAAAGAGCAAAAGAUAUGAAUGAGCAUUUCACAGCAGAAAAAUAUGAAUGAAAAAUAAACCACAAGAAAAGAUUCUCAGCCUUAUAGAAAUCAGGAAAAUGUAAAUUAAGACCACAGGAAGAUUUUCCAUGGAAAAGAAGUCCCAUAGUGGCAAGUAUUGGAGAGGCAGGAAUCAACAGGGAUCCUUAUAUGCUCCUAAUGCAGUGUAAAUUGCUGCAACCACUUUAGAAUAUUGCGAUUUCAUUACUAAGUGUAAACCCUGGAGAUACACUUGCAUGCAAGCACCCAGAGACAGGUGCAAGGAUAUUCAUAGCAGUGCUGUUUAUUAUGGUAAAAACAUGGAAACCACCCUAAUGUCCUUAACAGUAAAAUUAAUUAAUUGUGGCAUCACCAUAUAAUGAAAUCCUAUACAGCAGUGGCAAUGAGUCUAACAUAGCUGUGGCUGGAUACAGAAGGAAUCAUAGAAUUAUAAUGCGGAGUGAGAAAAGCCUGUUGCAGAAGACUACAUACAACAGGAUUUGACACUUGUAAGGCUCCAAAACAAAGAAAAUUAAAUGAUAUUGUUUAGGUUUUCAUACAUAGGUGAUAAAAGUGUGUUUCUUUGUUUUUAAUGAGAAAAUUAGUCACAGAAUUUAAGAUCUUAGUUACUUCUAUAGGGAAGGCAGGGGAAUGGGACAAGGAGGAAGCCCACAGCAUUGGUCAUGCUCUCAUGUUGAAGUUGGGUUCAAAGGUGUUCAUUAUUAAAAUGCUUCAUAAUGAUGACCAUACAUUUGGUAUUUCUAGGACAAUCUUGGUUUACAUCUAUUGUCUCAACAUAAUUAUUCAGUGCAAGCCUUUCCUUUCUCAGAAAGGUCCUAAUGUAGAUAAUAAAUUAUUUUGGCCAACUUAUUUCUUAUAAAAUGCAACAUGCAUCUCUUUUGUAUGUAUCUAUUAUUCCAUAAUCUAUACAGGUGUUUUUGUUUUUUUGUUUUUGUUUUUGUUGUCAUUGUUGUUGUUUGUUUGUUUUUUUGAGACAAGCCUCUCUCUGUUGCCCAAGCUAGAGUAAAGUGGCACGAUCUGAGCUCACUGCAACCUCCGCCUCCGGGUUCAAGCGAUUCUUGUGCCUCAGCUUAUCAGGUAGCUGGGACUACAGGCACCCACCACCACAUCUGGCUAAAUUUUUGUAUAUUUAGUAGAGACAGGGUUUUGCCAUGUUGCCCAGGCUGAUCUCGAACUCCUGGCCUCAAGUGAUCUGCCCACCUCAGCCUCCCAAGGCUAGGAUUACGCUAAGAUUAUAGACAUAAAUCAGCGCACCUGGCCUCCAUAAUCGAUAUAGUUUUUAAUACUGGGGCCACAGCCUGGCCACAGUCUCAUGGGAUGUUUGUGGUUUGACCCUAACAACCUUGUGAACCAGCCUGGGUAACUGUCCUUGGGGCCUCAAUGAACCAAGCCCUGGAGCACCCAGUCCCCAGAUCCUUCUGGCCACUCUGACUCCCUGUGCCCUGGACCCCACACCUCACCUGUCCUGGGCCCCACUCUGUCCUCUCCUCCACUUCUCACUGCCUGUGGAGCCAUCUUCCAGGGGCCCUGAAACCUCACCCACAAUCCAGGUCCACCCAGGGCCCCUGUGCCAGGCCCCAUGCUGGGUGAUAUUGGGGAACCAUCUUGGGGGCAGCUGGAGAUGGAAACCGUGACAACCCAGUGGAUCAAGGCUAUGGCACAGACCAGGCUGUGACACUGCAGAGGAGAGGGCUUAGCCCAACCUGGGGCCCAGGGAAGGCUGCCUGGAGCUGUUUUGAAGUCUGACGGGAGUGAGCUGGGUAGGGAAAGUGGGGGGAAGAGUGCUCCGGGCAGACAGGACAAAGUGCAGACAGUAGGGUAAGGAGGCACGGUGGGGGACGCAGCUCACAUGUUGCUGUGAGCAGAGCACAGAGCACAGGGCAGUGCCUGGCAGAAGUGGGUCUGGAAAGGGUGCCUCCUGGAGCCAUGAAUGCCAAGCCCAGGGUCUUGGACUGUAUCCUGAAGGCAGCAAGGAGGCACUGAAGGCAUUAGAGCGAAGCAAGGAGAACUGUCAGGCCAGGUGAGUCAUAUCAAGUGAGGUGAGAGUGAAAUUGGGAGAGAGAAGCGGAAAGAGACAAGGCAGCAGAGACAUUUUAUUGUUCUGCUUCGUCCUGGAAACCCACUCCCUGACAGCCUCCUCCCCCUGUCCUGCACCCACCACCCCCACACCUAUCCAUACACACACUGCAGAGCCGGUAGGGGAGGAAUAGCUCUGUGGUCUUGUGUGCAGGUGCUGCUAUGGGACUUCCUGGGUUCACAUCCCAACCUUGCCACUUGUCCUACCUGUGUAACUUUGGGCAGUGGCUCAAUGUCUCCAUGUGUCCAGUUUCCCUGUAAAAUGAGGAUGAUGGAAGUACUUACCUCACUGAAGCUUAACUGAGUCACAGGGGCCUGGCACAUAGUAAGCUCUCAAUCACUGUGAGCCGUCAUGGUCACUGGGGUGACACCACCUGCUCUCCUCCAAAACAGAGGAGACUAUACCCAAGGAAGAAGAAACCAGAGAAAGGACAGGAAGGUUUGGUGGCAGCGACUAGUCUCGAGACGGCAGUCCCCAGAACAGGGCUGGAUGUGUCCCCACCAGUAGACAGGCCCAGAUGCAAGGCCUCUGAUGUGUCUGCCGCUGCAGCCUCCAUUCCUAGGGUGGUGACUCAAUAAAUAUGUGCUGAAUGAAUGAAUGAAUGAAUGAAAUGUCAUGACUUCCAGGUACCCCACUGAUGUGGUUUGACUGUGUCACCACCUAAAUCUCAUCUUGAAUUGUAGCUCCCACAAUCAGGUGUUGUGGGAGGGACGUGAAUCAUGGGGGUGGGUUUUUCCCAUGCUGUUCUCGUGAUAGUGACUAAGUCUCACAAGAUCUGAUGGUUUUAUAAAGGGCAGUUCCCCUACACACGCUUUCUUGCCUGCCACCAUGUAAGAUGUGCCUUUGCUCCUCCUUCAUCUUCCGCCAUGAUUGUGAGGCCUCCUCAGCCAUGUGGAAUUGUGAGUCCAUUAAACCUCUUUUUCUUUAUAAAUUAUCAAGUCUCAGGUAUGUAUUUAUAGCAGCAUAAGAACAGACUAAUACACCCACCUACAAAUAAAGCCCUGAGGUCUCUUCCCCGCCCUUGCUUGGGUGGGUGCAGUGAGUGGAAUGUGUAGUCCCUGAUGCACCAUCUCCGGCCCUUACAGUUUAUGGCUCCUCACUGGGCUGUGUCCAGCAACAUCUAUCCUGCUGUUUCCCCUACUCUGGGCUGUCCCUGCUCUUGCCGCUUUCCUGGGGAGUGGGUGAGGACUGAGGGACACUCAGCCCCAGCCUGGGGACCCAGGGACGAGGAGACACCUCGGGAGGGCUGGGUCACUUCAGGCAAUUACCUUCACCUCUCUAAGCCUCUUGAAAAUGGGCAGAAUGAUCCCUAGGUGUCAGAGGUAUGGAGAGCAUCAUGGGAGAUGACAUCCCUGAAGUGAGGCACACUGUGAUCUGUGUGUCAGCAUUGGCAGGCUGGGAAUAGGGUGAACCUGUGAGGCACCUGGGGUGCAAGUUCUCCCUGGGUCUGGCCCUGUGCUUGGUAAAUGCUGCCUUUUACUACAUAAGGGACAAGUCUGUCAAGAGUGCCUGAGCAAUGGCCUGCAGCCGGGCCUGGGGACAGGGCUUUCCUGGGCUGGUGAUGGUCUGAAGCCCAAGUGGCAAGAAGAAAACUGGAGCCAAGAGGCCCCUUCCACUCAGGACCAGCCUCUCCCCACCCCUCACCCCAUACUCCCCAGGAGCCCAAUAGACACAUCAUUUCUCUUCCCCUCCAUGAGUGAG